RNAcentral lists this ribosomal RNA (301 nucleotides) under uncultured bacterium. RNAcentral's name for it is "partial 16S ribosomal RNA". It matches the Rfam family "Bacterial small subunit ribosomal RNA", at positions 509 to 807 of the family's 1533-position model. The record is from RNAcentral.
CAGCCGCCGCGGUAAUACGAAGGGGGCUAGCAUUGCUCGGAAUGACUGGGCGUAAAGGGCGCGUAGGCGGCGGCCAAAGUCAGGCGUGAAAUUCCCGGGCUCAACCUGGGGGCUGCGUUUGAUACUUGGUUGCUUGAGUGGGGAAGAGGGUCGUGGAAUUCCCAGUGUAGAGGUGAAAUUCGUAGAUAUUGGGAAGAACACCGGAGGCGAAGGCGGCGACCUGGUCCUUGACUGACGCUGAGGCGCGAAAGCGUGGGGAGCAAACAGGAUUAGAUACCCCCGUAGUCCCUGUCUCUUAUAC